Mesocricetus auratus (golden hamster) is the source of this 5235-nucleotide long non-coding RNA. RefSeq lists it as uncharacterized. Lineage: Eukaryota; Metazoa; Chordata; Mammalia; Rodentia; Cricetidae. The transcript has 5 exons. The record is from RefSeq and is a predicted model, not a curated record.
CUAUGCCCCACGAGCAUCUCUAAGAUCCCAUGACCCACACCAUCCUCCAUCUGGCUCCUUCUCGUCUCUGUCUGGGCUCUAUGACUUCCUUAUGGAUCCUCCUGUGACUUUUCCAUGAAAGCUGCCAUUGGUUCUUGGCCUCCCGCAGUGUCCCUCCUACCCUUCAGUGCACACCUCCAUUGCCUCCAAGUUUCUGUGUGCACACCUCCAUUGCCUCCAAGUUUCUGUGCCACUCUCUGGCUGCUCUUCACCCUCGUGUUCUGGCUGCUUCUGUCAGACAAGCAGGUCUAAUCUGGGACAAUCCCUGAUGACCUCAGUCUUAGUGGAGCUGCUCCACUGCUGUAUAACUGUCCCAUUUCUGAAGCUCCAAUCCAUGGAACCACGCAUGGGAGAGACAGUCUGCCUGGUGAUUGUGGCUCCUGGCUCUCGAGUUCAUUCUGGGCCCCACUGGGGUGGCCAAUCCCUUCCUGCCAAAGCUCAUGGGGAUAGGCUGUCAGAGCUGCUGCCUGGAGAAGGAUCCUGCCAAGGACGAAUCCCCAUUGCCUCUGUACCACCCUGUAGGCCUAAGGAGGAGGGACAGGCUGCUGACUUCUGGCCCUUGGACUAGUGCUGGAGUCAGCCACAAAGAAAUUCCCCAGGGAUUGGAGAGACCUUUGUGGUGUGGACUCCGCCUCCAGAUGGACACGUGAUCAGGCCUGGCCAAUGAGAGCACCGCAUCUCCAUAGCGCUAUACAGAUAUUCCUUGACCUGGGAUAAGUCAUGAUAAAUUCACUGUUAGCUGAAGAUACUGUAAGUAAAAAAUGCAUCCAGUGUACCUAACAUCAAAAGGCCCUCCUUAGCAGCACAGCAUACGGCAGCGCAUUGGUGGUUUCUCCCGUCAGUCUUGGCUGCUUUGGCUCGCUGCCACAGGCCAGCAUUGCUUUUUGUGAGACCAGGAACUAAUCAGUGUCCAAGACUCAAAGUAUGUUUUGUACCAAAUGCGUAUCAUCGUCAGCACAUUCACAUUGUUGUGAGGUACAAAGAUUGUCAGCCGAGCCAUGGUGACUUGGGCAAGCUGCAUUUCAUUGAAGGAUGGGUAUGUGGCAAAUUUGGAUCACUGGGAGGGGAUUCUGGGGGAUUUCUGUUUUGUCAUCACAGAAGAAUGCUAAUUGUAACCUGCUAGAUAUGAGGUUGUGUGUAAGCAUCUUGAGAUAUGUGAAUGGCUAAGCAGACAACUGUACUGGUGUUAACAGUGUUUCUAACCCCUCAAGAUGCAGACGGCCAAGCUUUGCCCUACAGACUAAAAAAUUUUUUUAACUUAAAAUAAAUAAAUAAAUAAAUAAAUAAAUAAAUAAAGCUCAAUAUCAGGUCACAAAAUCAUACCAAUCCCUGAGCUUGCCCCAAGAUCAGGCCACAAACCCCCACCAAUCCCAGGCCACCCUGGAAAUCUACACACACACACACACACACACACACACACACACACACACACACAAACCCCUACCUCUAUGAAAAGCUUUCCCCUUUCUCACUGUGUCUUUCCUUAGCAGAGGCAGUCACUUUCUGUACGAGGUUUGUUGUUCAGUGUGACUUUGUGGUAUUCCUUGGAUCCCGACUGUCAGGAUACCUUUUCCCUCAGAACUGUAAUUUUACAAUACGUAUUUGGGAUUGUGGGUAACUUCAGGGCACCUGGGCUGGAAGGGGGGACCAAAACAUGGACGACAGCAGACCCCAGAGCUAGAGGUAAGUGAUGAUGAGGUGAUCUCGCUUGAACUCCUGGAUCCAGCUGAGCCUGGAGGCGGAUUUUGGCACAAAGAUCUCUGGUCUCUGGGCAUAUGCAUUUCUUUCCUCUUAGGGGAAAGUCUGUUUCUUUUGAGGGAGCCGGGUAUGAAAUCCACAGUAGUGGCGAUGUGUGUUGUGAUGAAUGGAUGGUCUGUGAUGAUGGGUGGUAAAUGGGUGAUCCUUGGUGGUGAGUGGUGAUUGGUGGUGAUGGGUAUUGAGGACCCACAGACUUUGGGAUGAAAAGCUGGAGUCCUUCUUAAACAGAAGUGACCUUCUGUAAGUUUCUCAUGGAAGUAGUAAGCACAAGUUGAAAUAGGCUCACUCACAAACACAUGACAUUUACUUUAGGCUUUGCUUCGAGAAUCACUUCAUGCCUGUGACCUGCAGUCUAUGACAGCUGUGGAUCAGAGAGGAGGACGCCUGCAGGGGUGCAAAGCUGAGUGAAGGCACAUUGCCUGGAAAUACUUGGAUUCCCCAGGGUCUCCCCAGGUCCCCACAGUGAGCUUCCUUCUUCAGGAAAAAGGAUGCUCAUGGGGUCAGAGAGCUUAGUCAUCUCCUCCCAUCAUCUGGGUCAUCAUUCCAGGUAUCUUUGGGUGGUGGAGGGGGUACUAGCUGUAUCAUAGACAUAAGUCAUCCAACUCUAAGAGGUCACAUCCCAAGCUGAGAAGUGGAGAGAGGACCGAGGUAGGAGAAGCUUGAGGUGGGGGAGGAAAAAAGGUACAGCAUGAGGCCCAGAGUGGCAGCAUUUAAUUUAUACCCCAUCCUUAGCUUCACGGUUGGGUAUCCAAGCAAGUUACUUCUCACCUUCCUGCCUGUUUCCUCUUUGUAAAAGGGAUUAACCUUGUGGUGUAUAUGCACUCUGGAUCAUCUCUCUUUGGCUGUCCUCUUGCUAUCACUUGGGUACCACAAGGAAGUAAGCACGGGGCAAAGAAGGGGUGAUAUCAAGCAUGCCUGACCUUGUGUGGGUUCUAGGCUCACACCUAAACCCAGCCUGUGGCUCCCGGUCACUUAACAGAAAAUACAUGUGCUGUAUACUGAAGGGAACUGAAAGGACCGUCCCCAGUCACGUUCAAUCAGUACCUGCCAGCUGAUAUGCCUACUGCAUGUGCUAACCACUGGAUCUACAGCUUGGCUCUCAGAAGCCCUCCAUCUGCUGGGAGAACGCAUAGAGUUGUGCAGUGGAGAGAGAACUGAGGUAAGAGGAGUCUGAGGUGGAGGAGGCAGCGGGUAUCCAGGAUAAUAUGGCGGUAUUGUUGGGGGAGGUAAGCUUCCUGGGUUAUAGAACAUCUUAGCCGAGUCCUGGACGAGCCUGAGACCAACUGCAGCAGGGAGAGAAAAAUUAGCCAGUCCUGAAGGGAUGGCUGGUCUCCCUCUCGCCAGGGAUUUUAAGGAUAAAUGGUAUAACUUUCUGAGGAUGUAGAAUACAGGGUCUAUGCUUGGCUGGAAGACUAAACCAAAUUGUUAAAGCAGGGAGUACAGCCCUAGACACCACCGGGGCUACUGUGCACCAGGGUUAUUACUCUCUAAAACACUGUCACAACCUGAUGGUUUCUCAUCGCUUUGGCUGGGCACAUGCUUUGUUUGGCUCAUGCUGCAUUUCAAAGUGCAUUUGUCAUUGUUGUUGUUUCUUUUAUUGUUACUAUAAUCCAAAACUGAAAAGGCUCACAUGAAAGUCUAAAUUGGGGUCUUCUUAAAAAAAAAAAACACGCACACACAACUCAAGUCUACUAGUACUUGCCCUACAUUCCCCCAGGCCAGCAGUGGACUGGCUCUGAAACCCAGUAGUCUCUGACACAGGACUCUCAUGAUUCUGAGCCCUCUCCAGGUCUCAUCGUUUCUUCUGGUCCCACAGUGGCUCACCUCACCCAGGUCUUUACAACCCCUCACCAGACAGGAAGGAACAGUAGCUUGUGAGCCCUGCUCUACAGCAAGGACUCAACAGAUCUGGAUUAGGCUGUGAGGGCCUCUGGCUGGCAGCCUAUCAAAUGAGCCUGUGGGAGCCAGCGGCCCUUUCUGCUUCUUCUGAGCUGGGGGAGAGUGGUGUGCCUUGGGAGGAGAGGGCAGGUGCCAGGACUUAAGUUUGGGCACUAGGAGCAGGAGUAAGGAUGAGGGCCUUUUCAGUUUAUACCCCUCAAGGCUCCCAAUUUAGCAAAUGGAACUGUUCACAGAGCCCAGUCUAGGUAGCUGGAACUCUGAAUGAGUUUGGGGACACAUGUAGCUGGUAGAGACAAAAGUCCACUUCUCAACUUGUUUUCUCUUCAUGAUUUGCAAUCUGUCAUGUUUUGUCUUGCCAAAGUCAGUCUUGUCAUGUAGCCCAGGCUGACCUUGAACUCACGAGAAUCCUCACCACAUCUCAGGUCCCAAUUCUAUAAAUUAUAGGCAUGGGCAGCCAUGCCCAGUAUGGCCUAUCCUUUUUUACUCAUUUAUUUGUUUUGUUUUGUUUUUGAAAUAGGGUCUCACUAUGCAGCUCUGCCUGUCCUGGAACUUACUAUGUAGACCAGGCUGGCCUUGAACUCACAGGGAUCAACCUGUCUCUGACUCCCAAAUAUAGCUCAUCUUUUUAAGGGACUCCUUAGAAGUGUCAUUCUUGUGUUUCUAGAUUACCAGGAAAGAGUCCAUUAUAAUGGCUUCUUUGUAUGUACAUGUGAGCAUAUGUGUAUGUGUGUGUACAUGUGAAUACAUGUAGGUGUGCAUUGGAGACAUGAAUGAGUAUAGUGUGUAUACUCCUCUUUGAACAUUUAUUUGACACUUGUUCUUUCUGUUUUAGAUGUGGGCUGGAUUUAAGUGUUAUUAAGGUAAAAUCCCCUGCUUAAGUCUGUUUGUGAUGAUCUCACCCAUGGCCUCUCCCCAUCUUUGCCGAGGUGUAAUUUAUGGGCCUAUUUGAAGCAUGGAGAGCUCAGUGAGUUUUGAUGAAUGAAGCCCUCACAAAACCAGCGCCACAAUCAAGAUACCAACUUUCCCAUCACCCCCGAGUGUUCCUGUUUCUCUUUCCUCCUCAAUCUCCCCAUAGCUCCCGGUCCCAGGCAAUCACCCAUCUGCCUUCUCGCCAUGAGAGAUUAGAUUUCUCUUUUCUAGAGGCUCAGAUAAAUGGAAUCAUACAGUGCAUACUCCUUUGUGUCUGUCUCCUUUCACUUUCUGUAUUUUUAGGAUCUAUCCAUUUUGUUGCAUUUAAUAUCAGUCCUUUUUAUUUUUCAGAACAAUAUUCCACUGGUUACAUAGCUACAGUGGGGUUUGUUAAUCCGUUCAUCUGCUGAGGGUGUAUGUUUGGGUUGUUUCCAGUUUGAGGUGUUAGAAAUUAAGUAAGUACAAAUAUGUUUUUACUAGUCUUCAUAUAACUCACAGAUUCCUUCUGUCCUUCCUUUGUUCCUUCUUUUUUUUGAAACAAGAUCUUCAGCUCCUUCUAGAGUACUAUGAUUUUAUUAUCUAUCUGUCUGUCUGUCUGUCUGUCUAUCUAUCUAUCUAUCUACAACGUUU